CGGAGGGUGCGAGCGUUGUCCGGAAUCACUGGGCGUAAAGGGCGCGUAGGCGGCCUGAUAAGUAGGGGGUGAAAUCCUGCGGCUUAACCGCAGGGCUGCCUUCUAAACUGUCGGGCUCGAGCACAGUAGAGGCAGGUGGAAUUCCCGGUGUAGCGGUGGAAUGCGUAGAGAUCGGGAAGAACAACAGUGGCGAAGGCGGCCUGCUGGGCUGUUGCUGACGCUGAGGCGCGACAGCGUGGGGAGCAAACAGGAUUAGAUACCCUGGUAGUCCACGCCGUAAACGAUGGGCACUAGGCGUCGGGGGGAGCGACCCUCCCGGUGCCGUCGCUAACGCAGUAAGUGCCCCGCCUGGGGAGUACGGCCGCAAGGCUG
RNAcentral lists this ribosomal RNA (372 nucleotides) under uncultured organism. RNAcentral describes it as "bacterial SSU rRNA". It matches the Rfam family "Bacterial small subunit ribosomal RNA", at positions 526 to 896 of the family's 1533-position model. The record is from RNAcentral.